GUUGAACGCUGGCGGCGUGCCUAAUACAUGCCAGUCGAGCGAACAGACGAGGAGCUUGCUCCUCUGACGUUAGCGGCGGACGGGUGAGUAACACGUGGAUAACCUACCUAUAAGACUGGGAUAACUUCGGGAAACCGGAGCUAAUACCGGAUAAUAUAUUGAACCGCAUGGUUCAAUAGUGAAAGACGGUUUUGCUGUCACUUAUAGAUGGAUCCGCGCCGCAUUAGCUAGUUGGUAAGGUAACGGCUUACCAAGGCAACGAUGCGUAGCCGACCUGAGAGGGUGAUCGGCCACACUGGAACUGAGACACGGUCCAGACUCCUACGGGAGGCAGCAGUAGGGAAUCUUCCGCAAUGGGCGAAAGCCUGACGGAGCAACGCCGCGUGAGUGAUGAAGGUCUUCGGAUCGUAAAACUCUGUUAUUAGGGAAGAACAAAUGUGUAAGUAACUAUGCACGUCUUGACGGUACCUAAUCAGAAAGCCACGGCUAACUACGUG
RNAcentral lists this ribosomal RNA (497 nucleotides) under uncultured bacterium. Its description in RNAcentral is "partial 16S ribosomal RNA". It matches the Rfam family "Bacterial small subunit ribosomal RNA", at positions 28 to 507 of the family's 1533-position model. The record is from RNAcentral.